Molecule: long non-coding RNA, 1784 nt
Filed under: Theobroma cacao (cacao)
Lineage: Eukaryota; Viridiplantae; Streptophyta; Magnoliopsida; Malvales; Malvaceae
Description: long non-coding RNA (TCAC_LNC002563)
Source: RNAcentral
AGUGACACGUGGGCCCCCAACUGACCAAGAAGGUGUAGGGCUACGAACCCUUACUUUCUAGGAUGAAACUCCGAGAUUAAUUCUCGUCUUAAUCAACUAUCAACAAACUGUCCUGAGCCUGAAAAAUGGAUAGGAAGAGGGGUGAGAUUAUGAUUACAUAAUCCCAGUGAGUAAACAGACACCAUCUAAACUAUCUAAAGGCGAGUAAAGGGAGACAAUUAAAAAUAGUUCAUUUCAGUAAAUUUUUCACAACACGAAUAUUCAUUUCAACCAAAUAAUCAAUAUGGCUCGUGAAUUUCUCAAAACUUGGCUCCUGCCAAAAUCAUUCUCUCAAGUACCUUCGUCAAGGUAUCCCAUUGAGACCGCCAAGGCUAUUAAAUGUCCUAUACCCAUAAACAUGUUUUCGCAUCUGACACACAGUCGUUCCUUGGCAUUGGUUGAGUCUCACUCUCACGCGAUGGUUACUGUGAAGUGCACUCAAAAAGCCUACCGCAGGAGAUACCCUACGCGCUUCUACGACCGAGGUGAGAAUAUAAAUGAGUUUACCAUGCCCCUCUAAUAGGCUGGUCCACGAAACCCCCCCACCACUACAGUGACUAUGGAUUAUUUUAUCUACCAACUAAUUUAUAAAAUCUUUAUCUGCAUGACAUGGCAAUUUAUGGUAAUUUAGCCUCUCAAGGCUGAAUACAUAGUAUAGAUAAUUUUGAUACAAAUACCGACUUUGCCAUUCAUGCUCACAUAUUGUUAUAAGCCAUAUAAUUUAAAACAUAAUUUAUAACACAAGCAGGCAGUCUCCAAUUACUCUAUUUUCAAAACCAGUAUUCAAUUUUCCAAAAAAUUUAUAAAAUCAUUUUAUAAAAUAACAAUUUCUCCUAAAAUGUAGCAAUUUACCAUUUAAACUCAUUUUCUAUAAAAUCACACAAUUGUAUAAAACUACUCUAGAUAAUUAAGACGAUAAUAAAUUUACUCACAGUUCUAGGAGUAAAAAUACUCCUAUUUUCAGUUCGCGGGUACAGUCCUUUACCCGUAUCCAAUGGCUUACCACCUAGCCAUAAUCCAUGACACAUAUUUCAAUUAAAUUGUGUCUACAGUCAUAGGUUAUUUCAGGCUCGAUAUAUAUAUGCGUGAUAUGAAAUGAAAAAUGCACGGGUAGCCAUCUAGACCCGGUAUUGACCUAAGUCAAUUUUUCAUCCGAUAAAUUGGUCAAUGAGUCCAAUUUCACUCAAACUUGCUCCAUUUCUUUUCCAAUCCCUCAAUUCACCAAGCACAACUAAUUAACACACAAUUAGGCAAAUUUAUCUUCACUUUUCUUCUUGGAACUUUCGGCCAUUGUGAUGCACUAUCACUAAAAAUUUUCGCAUUCCAUUUUCUCACCAAAAAUCAUCAUUUCAUCAAUUUUUCAAUCAAUUCACUUGAUCACAAAAUCAAUUCAUUACUUCUACACUUCACAUAGGGUUCGGCCAUUGAAGGUUCAUGGGGAAAAUGGAUUCUUUUCUUGUUGUUUUGUUUCUAAACAUGUUUAACUAACUUUAAACACCAACAUAACUCAAAAUCAAACAAUUCCAACAUCUUUCUCUCUCCAUACCCAUUUUGACCAACCAUGAUUUCAUCAUGAAAACAUGUAAUUUAACCAUGGAAAUUAAGGAAAAAUGCAUGGGUAAGGUAAAUCACUAGCAAAAUCAAAGAAAUUUUACCUUUGCUUGAUCAAAUCCUUGAAUUCCAACACUUUCUCUUUGAUUUUUCCCACCUAGGGUUUGUUCUUCCUUGGUUUCUCUUCUCUUCUG